RNAcentral lists this transfer RNA (72 nucleotides) under Heterocephalus glaber (naked mole-rat). It matches the Rfam family "tRNA". From Rfam's summary of the family: Transfer RNA (tRNA) molecules are approximately 80 nucleotides in length. Their secondary structure includes four short double-helical elements and three loops (D, anti-codon, and T loops). Further hydrogen bonds mediate the characteristic L-shaped molecular structure. tRNAs have two regions of fundamental functional importance: the anti-codon, which is responsible for specific mRNA codon recognition, and the 3' end, to which the tRNAs corresponding amino acid is attached (by aminoacyl-tRNA synthetases). tRNAs cope with the degeneracy of the genetic code in two manners: having more than one tRNA (with a specific anti-codon) for a particular amino acid; and 'wobble' base-pairing, i.e. permitting non-standard base-pairing at the 3rd anti-codon position. Lineage: Eukaryota; Metazoa; Chordata; Mammalia; Rodentia; Bathyergidae. The record is from Rfam by way of RNAcentral.
UGGAGUGUAGCUCAGUGGUAGAGCAUUUGCCUUCUAUGCAGGAGUUCUUGGGUUCAAACUCCAGCACCACAC